Molecule: ribosomal RNA, 854 nt
Filed under: uncultured bacterium
Lineage: Bacteria
Description: bacterial SSU rRNA
Rfam family: Bacterial small subunit ribosomal RNA
Source: RNAcentral
UNUGGCUUAACUGGGGGCUUGCGGUGGGUACGGGCCGGCUNGAGUGCGGUAGGGGAGACUGGAACUCCUGGUGUAGCGGUGGAAUGCGCAGAUAUCAGGAAGAACACCGGUGGCGAAGGCGGGUCUCUGGGCCGUUACUGACGCUGAGGAGCGAAAGCGUGGGGAGCGAACAGGAUUAGAUACCCUGGUAGUNCACGCCGUAAACGUUGGGCACUAGGUGUGGGGGGCCUUUUCCGGGUCUUCCGCGCCGUAGCUAACGCAUUAAGUGCCCCGCCUGGGGAGUACGGCCGCAGGGCUAAAACUCAAAGGAAUUGACGGGGGCCCGCACAAGCGGCGGAGCAUGCGGAUUAAUUCGAUGCAACGCGAAGAACCUUACCAAGGCUUGACAUGUGCCGGUCGGCUCCGGAGACGGGGCUUCCUCCUUGUGGGGCCGGUUCACAGGUGGUGCAUGGUUGUCGUCAGCUCGUGUCGUGAGAUGUUGGGUUAAGUCCCGCAACGAGCGCAACCCUUGUCCCGUGUUGCCAGCACGUUGUGGUGGGGACUCGCGGGAGACUGCCGGGGUCAACUCGGAGGAAGGUGGGGAUGACGUCAAAUCAUCAUGCCCCUUAUGUCUUGGGCUUCACGCAUGCUACAAUGGCCGGUACAGAGGGCUGCGAUACCGUGAGGUGGAGCGAAUCCCUUAAAGCCGGUCUCAGUUCGGAUCGGUGUCUGCAACUCGACACCGUGAAGUUGGAGUCGCUAGUAAUCGCAGAUCAGCAACGCUGCGGUGAAUACGUUCUCGGGCCUUGUACACACCGCCCGUCACGUCAUGAAAGUCGGCAACACCCGAAGCCCGUGGCCCUACGGGGAGCGGU